This is a long non-coding RNA of Pongo pygmaeus (Bornean orangutan), 7832 nucleotides long. RefSeq lists it as uncharacterized. NCBI's taxonomy places the organism in Eukaryota, Metazoa, Chordata, Mammalia, Primates, Hominidae. The record is from RefSeq and is a predicted model, not a curated record. The transcript has 4 exons.
UUGCUCACACAAAGCCUGUUUGGUGGUCUCUUCACACGAGUGAAAUUUGGUGCCAUGACUCAGAUCGGGGGACCUCCCUUGGGAGAUCAAUCCUCGGUCCUCCUGCUCUUUGCUCUGUGAGAAAGAUCCACCUACGACCUCAGGUCCUCAGAACGACCAGCCCAAGAAACAUCUCAACAAUUUCAAAUCCGGACCCCACUGAAAGUCAGACUGUUCAACUCACCUGGCAGCCACUCCCAGAGCCCCUGGAACUCUGGCCCAAGGCUCUCUGACUGACUCCUUCCCAGAUCUUCUUGGCUUAGCGGCUGAAGACUGACACUGCCCGAUCGCCUCAGAAGCCCCCUAGACCAUCACGGACGCCGAGCUUCAGGUGCUCCUGAGGAAUUCACAGGAGACAAGACUGGGAGGCAAGCAAGCAAGAAUCAAGCCAUUGAACCUUUUUGUGCCAUGCUAAGAUCAUCAGAUUUCAUUCUGAACACAAUAGGAAGCCAUUAAGAAAUUGUUAAGUAACAUUACUAUCAGGUUUGUGUUUUAGAAAAAUUAGUCUACUCCAGUGACAGGAUAUGCUGGCCAGCUGAAUGUUGGAAGAAAAGUAUGGAGGAUAGAAGGAGAUUUGUGAAGAAUCCCCAUUGCAGUUCUACAAAUGGGAAAGUAUAAGGGCCUGAAUUGAGGCUCUGGCAGUGGGGAUGGAGAAGAGAGUAAGAAGGAUAGAGAAAGUUAGUUUAGAAACAAUAGUACUUAGCACUUCUAAUUGUAUAGAGAGGAUAGAAGAGGAAAAAUUAUUGUGGCUUGUGCAGCUUAUAAGGAACUAGGUAGAGGAAUAUUUGAAGAGGAAGAAAUGAGUUAAAUUUUGAACAUACUGUGCUUACCAUUCUAAGAUAACAUUAAAAUAUUCAGGAGGCAAGCCAGGCGUGGUGGCUCAUGCCUGUAAUCCCAGCCUUUGGAAGAUCAAGGCAAGCGGAUCACCUGAGACCAGGAGUUUCAGACCAGCCUGGCCAACAUGGUGAAACCCCAUCUCUACUAAAAAUACAAAAAAUUAGUUGGGUGUGGUGGCGGGCACCUGUAAUCCCAGCUACUCAGGAGGCUGAGGCAGAAGAAUCUCUUGAACCUGGGAGGUGGAGGUUGCAGUGAGCCGAGAUCGCGCCAUUGCACUCCAGCCUGGGUGACAAGAGUGAAACUCUGUCUCAAAACAAAAAAAAAAAAAAAAGAAAAUUCAGGAGACAGUUGGAGGUACGGGUUGAUGUUUGAGGAAAGAAGUCAGUGUUGGCUGUGUGUAUGUGCGACAGAGAAAGGGUGUGAGGGGAGAGAUACAAAGUUGGGGGGAAGAGAAGUCUUGGACCAAAAGGAACACCGUACUUAAGCAUCCUGCAGAUGAAGAGAGAAGUCAUAAAUGGCAGAUAAGCAGUUGGAAGGAAAACCAGAGAGAGUGCUAGAACCACAAGAGCAGUUUUGAAAAGGAGUAGGCAACUGUGUCAAAUACAACAAAGAUAUAUGCACAUUUAUUUCUUUAUACUUUUCCAUUUCCUAAAAGUUUUCUAACCUUAGUUUUUAUUUUAAUAGAUAGAAAAUCUCAUACAUAACCAACAUCACUCCAUCUUUACUCCAUCCCGAAAAUUACUUCAUUAGAAAAAAAUUCUAUUUUUAAAGCCCUGCGGGAUGACCAAAUUUGUGUUUCAGAAGGUCAUUCUAACUGAAAGUAAUUUAGAGGCUCUAGUAAUAGUUUCAGACAUGACAGAGAGAAAGUGAUGAAUUCAGGCAAUAUAUUUAUUAUUGAAUUGAUGGAAUUCUAUAUCUGAAUCAGAAAGGAAAAGUGAAGGAGAUGAAAGAGUCAUUUUUAAUUUAGAGGUAUCAGGGCUGAGCAUCUAGACAAAAGAUGGCCCUAUCCGAGAGGUUUUAAAAACUAGGUACUGAAUUGGGAAAGGUGUAUUAGCCAGGGUUCUGCAGAAAACAGAAUCAAUGGAGUUUAAAGAGAUAUAUAAGAGGAAAUUCAUUAUGGAAAUUGUCUCACAAGAUUAUGGAGACCCGGAAGUCCUACAAUAUAAAAGCUGGAGAACAAAAAAAGCCAGUGGAGUAAUUGAGUCUGAGGCUAAAACCUGAGAACCAGUGAGUGUGGUGAGUGUUAGGGGAUGCUGGCGUAGGUUUUGAGGGCUGACGACCCCAAAACCAGGAGUUCUGAUGUUCAAGGUCAGGAGAAUAUGGAAUCCCUGGUUUAAGAAGACUGAGUAAAUUCACCCUUUCUCCACUUUUUCAUUCUAUUUGGGCCAUCAAAAGAUUUGACAGUGCCUACCCACAUUGGUGAGGGUGAUCUUCUUUUCUCAGUCUACUGAUUCAAAUGCUAAUUUUUUCUAGAAUUACCCUCCUAGACACACCCAUAAAUAAUGUUUACCAGCCGUUGUGUCAUCCCACAGCCUGCUCGAGCUGAUACAUAAAAUUAACCAUUAUGGAAGGGACAAGUAGUAGAUAACAAAAGGCAAUCCAAUGUAUUCUCCUAAGUAGUGUAUUCUUUUUGCUUUCCAUUCUAGACAUAACUCUGGUGGUGAUUGGUGCUACUUAUUAAGUAUUUCCUGCUCUCCAUCUCCCUGACACGUGGUUGAAUUGCACUUCUUCUCCUACUUCUAAAUGAGUGCACCUUGUGAUGAGUUUUAGCCAACAAAUUGUGAGCAAAAGGAACUUGGGCCACUUGAACACCAGAGCACUUUCUUGCUAAUAUGAGGACCUCCACAACUCUCUUCCCUGUGACACUGUAACUGUCCUUGUUUGAGUUGAUAGCUGGACAGGGAGCCUGGGUUCUUGAAUGAGGACAAUGAGCAGAAUUCCUCUUCCUGACCCACAGUGGACACAUGUCAUGAGCACGAAUUAAACUUUUGUUGUUUAAAGCCAUGAAAACUUGGAGAAGUUAUCUCAGCAUAACCUAGUCUUUCCUGACAAAUAUAUGCUCCCUGGAUAAUUUCAUAAUCUCCCUUAUCUUCAGUUGCUAUUUAUGCACUGAUGAAUCCAGAUCCACUGCUCCAGCUCUCACUCCUGAAAUCCAGACUCUUGUUUCUAGAACUACCUGUAGAAUGUCACAAACAUUUCAAAUUGACCAGUCUAAAAUAAACUCAUCAGUUGUGACUGCAUUUUUCCUGAGCACUAACUCUGUCCCAGGUACUUGUCAUAACUUUUAUAUAAAUUAUAUCAUUUCAUUCACACAAUAACCCCAAGAGCCAGAUACUAUCUAUAUUCCUGUUUCCAACCCUAAAUCCCAAGGGGAAUAGGAGGUGGUAAAGAAGAUGGUGAAAGUACAGCUAGAGAGGUGGAAGGAGAAUCAAGACAGGUGAGCAAAGAAGAGAAUCACAACUAAUAAUUAGUAAUACAGAGAAGUCAAAGGAGGCAAAAUAAAAUCAUUUUACUGCUUUGGAAUUAGGAAAUCACUAGUAACCUCAGGAAAAACACUCAUAAUGCAGUGAGGUAAGGUGGAGAGAGUGAAUAUGGAAAACUCCAGAACUUUGGUGAUAAUUAGGAAAAGGAAGGAGACAAGAUAUUGGCUGGAAGUGGGCUCAGGAUUUAAAGAUUUAGUUUAGGAAUUGUUUUUAAAGAGAUACAAGCAUGUUUAUAGGCUAAGAUGAGAAUGCAAUGUAAGAUGAGAAUGUAAACAUAAAAAAGAAUGUGAGAAUAGUUGAUGAGGUAAGCUCCAGAAAGAGCUAGAAAUGGAACCAUGACACAGUUGUAGGAUUUAGAGUUAGGCAAGAAAAGAGCUUUCUAUUCUUCUAAAGUUGUGUAAGAAAUGAUAAUGGUACAGACAGGCUUAGAGGUGCAGUUAGGAUUUAAACCAGUUCAUGUCUGAUGUUCUCAAGAAUCUUUGUAAAUAUGGCAAGGCCAUCUGCCCAGAGUUCAAGGAGGAUUGGUCACAGGGCAUGUUUAAAAUAUUUAUUUGAACUUAUAAAAACAAUGAGCUUAAAAAAUUCAAUACUAAAAUGCAACUUGGAAAGCACUUUUUAGAAAAUAAUAAAUCCAAUAAUGAGUGAAGAGUGAGUACUGAUUCUUUGUCACAGCUAACUUCUAUUUAAUCAUUCGUGAAGCUCUGUGUAGUGUGAUGAUUGCUGCUUACAAGUAAUCUCAAAUUUCAUUGUUAUCCAUCAUUUUAAUUUCCUCUAGGACUAAGCUUUUUACUAGAGCAGUUGACUUUUGUUCCUAAUGUGUGAUUUAAGUGGCUUUUCUUUUUUCUUUUGACAGUCUCACUCUGUAGCCAGGCUGGAGUGCAGUGGCACGAUCUUGGCUCACUGCAACCUCCGCCUACCGGGUUCAAGUGAUUCUCCUGCCUCAGCCUCCCGAGUAGCUGGGACUACAGGCCCAUGCCACCACACCCAACUAAUUUUUGUAUUUUUGGUAGAGAUGGGGUUUCACCAUGUUGGCCAGGCUGGUGUCGAUCUCCUGACCUCGUGAUCUGCCCGCCUCAGCCUCCCAAAGUGCUGGGAUUACAGGCGUGAGCCACUGUGCCUGGCCUUAAGUGGCUCUUCAAAUUAGGAAGAAGACCUAUAAGACAGAAAGAUAACUGACCAGGAAAUUAGCAGGCCCUGCCUCCAAACCUAAUUCUACUACCAGCUCACUGACACCUCCCAAAACUGCCUCUCUUCUCCAUGUAUGUAAUUACACAUGAAUCUACUCCCAGUUCUAAUAUCCCAGUUCACUCUAAUAUGAUUUGUCUUUGUGGCCCCGCCCAAAUCUCAUCUCGAACUUUAAUCCCCACAUGUCGUGGAAGGGGCACGGUGGGAGGUGAUUCGAUCAUGGGGGUGGUUUCCCUCAUGCUAUUCUCAUGAUAGCGCGUGAGUUCUCACAAGAUCUGAUGGUUUUAUAAGUGGUGGUUUCCCCUGCUCUCUCUCUCACCUGCCACCAUGUAAGACAUGCCUGCUUUUCCUUCCAUCAUAAUUGUGCAUUUCCUGAGGCCUCCCCAGCUGUGCAGAACGGUGAGUCAAUUAAACCUCUUUUUUGUAUAGAUUACCCAGUCUUAGGAUGUCUUUAUAGCCAUGUGAAAAUGAACUAGUAAAACCUCCUUCUAUUUCAACUCCUCAUCCACCCAUAUUCAUGUAUAGCAAGAGGGCUCUUGACCUUUACAAAGAAAGAAGAUUCAAGAGAGCAAAGUAUUUUAGACAAAUCCCAAACUGCAAUAUCAGUCUGUUAAUCAAUAACUUGUUCUCUUAAGUAUAACUAUCCCCUCAAUGAUCCAGAGCAUCAUGGAUAUAAGGACCUUCUGGUGCAUGUAUUGGCACAGCAUAGAAGUCCCUGAGGCUCCCAGUGAGGCAUAAGAAAAUAUGUGCCUUUUAUGUAUGUGUAUGUGGCUGUGAGUAGUAUGUGGUGUGUGUGUGUAUAGGUGGUAUGUGCAUAUGAUAUAUGCAUUAGUGUGAUACUAAUGCUAUAAUAAUACUAAUGCUAUAAUAUACUAAUACUAAUAUACUAAUGCUAUAAUAAAUAAAUCCUACAAUAUAGUAGCUCAAUAAAAAAGAUGUUUCUUUCUCUUGUGUCACAGCCCAAUGUGAGUGUUUCUGGGUGGUGGAAGUUCGCCUAUUGUGCAGUAAUUCAGGGACCCUUACUCCUGCCAUCUCAUGGCUCUGUAUUUCCUCAGAUCUCAGGUUUACUGCAUCCAGUCAGAAGGAUAAAGAGAUGGCAGAGAAGGCAUGCUCACUUCUUAAACCAGAAAUGAUACACAUCCCUUCCUUUCGCAUUUUCUUGAUUCUAAAGGAUGUCACCAUGGAAAGAAGAAUGAAUAUUCUACAUUUUCUUCCUUGGAAAAUAUAAAAUAGGCCUGCAGCUUUAGUCUGGUAACUUUUUCUUUGGCUGCUUCUCCUUGACUCCUAAGUAGAGGCGUGAUUAUAGAAGAGAAAAGGAGAAGAUUUUGGGAAGAGAGCUGUGAUAAAUUUAUCUAUAAUCCUAUGUCUCUUACAAACAUAUUUCACUUAACAAAACUCCCCAGCAGAAGCAAAGAACUACCCAUAUAAUGACAGUUUCUUCUUAAAUUUCGUUUUAAACGUUUAAAAGAAAAAAAAAAAAUUAACGCGUUACACACAUCUUCUUAAUCAAAAGUUGCUAGAUAUAAUGUUAUAUUUAUGGAGAAGAGAAUCAAACAACAGUAAGGUUUAUGCCUCAACACUUAGUAGAAUGAAUGAGAUUAUUUUUUAAUGUUUGCAAUUCAGAAUAUUUUGCCACUUUUCUUGCAUCAGGCUCCAUUUUUUCUUAAGUUAUGAUUGGAGCCUUUGCUUUUACAACUGCACGUUCUUUACCCUCUACUGCCUACUCCUUUUCUAGUGAACUGGGCUAACAAAACAAAUAAUUCAAUGCACUAAAAUGGUGUCUAGAGUAAAGGUAAGUAGAUUUUGAGUGAAAAUAUGCAUUGCUCUUUAAGAACUAGGUUUUUUGUUGUUGUUGUUGUUGCUUUCCCUGAGACGGAGUUUCCUUCUUGUUGCCCAGGCAGGAGUGGAGUGCAACAGUGUGAUCUCAGCUCACUGCAACCUCUGCCUCCGGGUUCAAGCAAUUCUCCUGCCUCAGCCUCCCAGGUAGUUGGGAUUACAGGCAUGCGCCACCACACCCAGUGAAUUUCGUAUUUUCUUUUUCUCUUUUUUUUUUUAGUAGAGACAGGAUUUCACCAUGUUGGUCAGGCUGGUCUCAAACUCUUGACCUCAAGUGAUCCACCCUCCUUGUUCUCCCAAAGUGCUGGGAUUAGGAUUACAGGCGUGAGCCGCUGUCCCCAGCUGAACUAGGUCUGACAUAUAUUCCUGAUCUUGACCUUUUAAUUAUAAAAAGGAUACAAUUUUUUCUUCCAUUUUUAAAAAUUUUUAAUUAUCAUGGAUACAUAAUAGUUGUACAUUUUCAUGAAGUACAUGUGAUAGUUCGAUUCAAGAACUCAAUGCAUAAUGAUCAAACAAGGUAAUUGGGCUAUUCAUAACCUCAAGCAUUUACUAUUUCUUUAUGUUAGGGACGUUCUAGAAAUUAUAAAAAUAUUUUUAUAAUAGGAGAGUUGGAAAAAAAGUAGAAAGUUCAAAUAAUUGUAAUGCCAUUUGAUUGAAGACAAUUUGAUUUCUGUGUCUCAAAGAAGCUGAGGUUGUCAAACUGGUGGACUUCGGUAGUAUGGUCAUCUGGAUUGCUCACUGCUCACUUAAGACAGACUUUAAGAAGAAAGUCUCUUACUCACAGGAGAUCCGACUCCCCAUUCCUGCAGUCUGCAACUUGACCUCUUCCUCACAGAUUCUAUGCUAUUCAUAAGUCAGCUUCUACUAGCCCCAGAAAGUCCAAGUUUAUAAGGACAAUUAUAGGUAGAGAGGUACACCCUUUUCCUUUGCUGAUCCCACACUAAUUUGCUGUUCUUCAAAUUUGGGUACUUUUCAAAAGCAAAAAGUCACCCGCAGUUUACAUAAACACAUGUAAAGAAAUGUCGUUACUUUCAACCUUAGGAAAUCAGUUGGAUUACAAACAUUUUCUUGUCAGUGGUUCCAGUGGAAAUCAAAUUAUUUAGAAAAAAAAUUACUCAGCCUUGGUUAAAAUUAAGAAAAAAUGUAGCACCCAGUAGUAUCUAAUAAGCCUUGAAAGGAAGCAUCCUGCUGACAUAAAUCUAUUAUAACUGAGUUCUAGUAAGAUAAAGAAUAAAAGAUGAGAAAAUAGGAACAUUCCUUGAAAACCGGAUCACAGUGAACAAAGGGCAAUGAUAAAAGAUUAUCCCAGUGAAUAAAAGGUCUCUCAAUUUAUACCUGUAUGGUUAUGUCUUGUUAUCUUUACUGAGAGCAAGCAGUGUGCUUUCUGAGAUUUUUAGCUGUUAACCACAAAGCUUCUGUUUAAAGUCUCAGGAAUAUAACCCUCAACCACAA